Molecule: small RNA, 114 nt
Organism: Martelella sp. AD-3
Lineage: Bacteria; Pseudomonadati; Pseudomonadota; Alphaproteobacteria; Hyphomicrobiales; Aurantimonadaceae
Rfam family: rpsB sRNA
Source: Rfam
CACACGCAGGCCAUGGGAUGUUCCGGGAGAAAUCCGGUGCGUUCCGCCGGUGUCAGGCGUCAUUGACGUCUGGUCUCAGGUCUGCGGAGGUUCAACCGGAAAAGGAGAAAAGGC